RNAcentral lists this ribosomal RNA (629 nucleotides) under Lactiplantibacillus pentosus. Its description in RNAcentral is "bacterial SSU rRNA". It matches the Rfam family "Bacterial small subunit ribosomal RNA", at positions 57 to 652 of the family's 1533-position model. Lineage: Bacteria; Bacillati; Bacillota; Bacilli; Lactobacillales; Lactobacillaceae. The record is from RNAcentral.
GCAGUCGAACGAACUCUGGUAUUGAUUGGUGCUUGCAUCAUGAUUUACAUUUGAGUGAGUGGCGAACUGGUGAGUAACACGUGGGAAACCUGCCCAGAAGCGGGGGAUAACACCUGGAAACAGAUGCUAAUACCGCAUAACAACUUGGACCGCAUGGUCCGAGUUUGAAAGAUGGCUUCGGCUAUCACUUUUGGAUGGUCCCGCGGCGUAUUAGCUAGAUGGUGGGGUAACGGCUCACCAUGGCAAUGAUACGUAGCCGACCUGAGAGGGUAAUCGGCCACAUUGGGACUGAGACACGGCCCAAACUCCUACGGGAGGCAGCAGUAGGGAAUCUUCCACAAUGGACGAAAGUCUGAUGGAGCAACGCCGCGUGAGUGAAGAAGGGUUUCGGCUCGUAAAACUCUGUUGUUAAAGAAGAACAUAUCUGAGAGUAACUGUUCAGGUAUUGACGGUAUUUAACCAGAAAGCCACGGCUAACUACGUGCCAGCAGCCGCGGUAAUACGUAGGUGGCAAGCGUUGUCCGGAUUUAUUGGGCGUAAAGCGAGCGCAGGCGGUUUUUUAAGUCUGAUGUGAAAGCCUUCGGCUCAACCGAAGAAGUGCAUCGGAAACUGGGAAACUUGAGUGCAGA